AUGUCAACCCACCGCUUUGUUGAGAGCUUCAUCACCGAGUUGGAUGGCCUCAACAUUGCCAGGACUUCCACUUCGGCAGGGUGUGCACUUGUAAUACCAACGCGAAGCUGUUGGAAACCAUCUCUGAAUGGACACGUUAAGAAGUAUCUAGACGGGGGUUUGUCCUAUGAUGGGCGUGUUGGAGCUGCGGCGGUUGUAUGCAGGGAUGAGCAUGGUCAGUACCUUGGGACCUCAGCAAUUGUUCUACCCGGUGUUCUUAAUUCGACAGUUUUAGAGAGCAUUGCUUGCCGUGAGGCUUUAGCACUUGCGGCUGAUCUAUCUUUGGAUCACUUGGUAAUUGCUAGUGACUGCAAACCGAUUGUGGGUAACAUCAUAAAAGGGGUAGGAGGCCCUCAUAUCACAGUCGUCAAGGAGAUAAAUAAUAGAAAAACACCUUUUGCUAGCUGUGAUUUUAUGUUCGAAGGUCGUGCUUCGAAUCAGGAGGCUCACAAUCUUGUAAAAUUUUCUGCCUCGCUUCGGCAGGGUCGCCACUUGUGGCUUAUCUCUCCUCAUGACCCUCUUUGUAUCCCUUUGAUUAUUGUUCCAAAUGAAAAAGUAUGGGAUCCCUAA
Molecule: ribosomal RNA, 609 nt
Filed under: Triticum aestivum (bread wheat)
Lineage: Eukaryota; Viridiplantae; Streptophyta; Magnoliopsida; Poales; Poaceae
Description: partial small subunit ribosomal RNA
Source: RNAcentral